CCGCCAUUACUCUGGCCAGUAACUGGCUGCUGGCGUACUAUAGAAUAUAUAGCGAAAGAAGAUGUUUGGGCUGGAAAAUCGCGUUUUUUGACCAUGUUUUUCAACGACUGUGGGAAUUUUGUACAGAAAUCGAAAUAUAUAAGGUAAGACAUAACGACUGGGCCGUCUACAGGAAUUUAGAUACUUUUCUCGAGCAAAAAUCAACAUUUUAUACAACAAUGUUUACAGUUCGAUACAAUUCUAUUUUGUGUGAAGUUUAUAUGAACACUCAUCUAAGUCAAUUGGUUAUCCUGUUCCUAAUAUUUCUUAUCAUUUCUUAUCAUUAUUGUCAUAAAAUAACUGAUAACCAUUUGUAUUUCGGAAGGACAUCGAGGUUUUAUUUAUUAAUUUGUGUUUUGACUCAAACACGCUAUGCCACUUUACUUUUGAACAUAAAUUUUCGAUGUCUUGGAUAAGAAAUUAUUUGUAAAAAGCAAAAACAAUCAUGUUACUAUGAUAAAAGACAUUUGCUGAGCGAAAUAGUGCUUUAAUAGUAAAACUGCAUGUCGAUCCAGAUCCUAAUGAAGAAUUAUUUCUAUUUCGUUCUUAUUUGCAGUGAUUACUUUAGGUUCAAAUUAAAUCCUAUUUCAUGGAGUUACCAGAAAUUUUGAGAUGCAUUUUUUGUAAAGUGUCAAUAUGUGCAAGGUUUAUAUUUGAUUGCUGCCCUACUACAUGGGUUUUUAAAUUUUAUUUAAAUUUGUUUAAUUGUCAUUAGUGUACAUGUCACCUACACAGCACCAGCUGCUGACCUUGCUAUCACUUUGUUUUCUUUUUAGUUUCAUUGCAGCUGAUCCUGUUUGCUUCUUUCAUUUCAAUACCAUACUGCUCAUUGAUUUAUGUAUGAAUAGCAUUAAUAUAAUUAACAUAGCAAUUGUAUAACAGCUAUAAUAUCUAAUGGUAUCAUAUUUUUAAAACUUAGUAAAUGAAUGGACUAUUAUUGUAUAGUAUUAAAUGAAAUAACAUUUGAAUAUGAAAAGAUACAAUUGAUUUGUGACUUGUGUUGAUGAUUUUAAUAUUGUACAGUGUGCAUUUUGUGUCC
Molecule: non-coding RNA, 1078 nt
Organism: Paramuricea clavata
Lineage: Eukaryota; Metazoa; Cnidaria; Anthozoa; Malacalcyonacea; Plexauridae
Source: the annotation of a GenBank genome assembly